RNAcentral lists this ribosomal RNA (253 nucleotides) under uncultured bacterium. RNAcentral describes it as "partial 16S ribosomal RNA". It matches the Rfam family "Bacterial small subunit ribosomal RNA", at positions 524 to 776 of the family's 1533-position model. The record is from RNAcentral.
UACAGAGGUCUCAAGCGUUGUUCGGAAUCACUGGGCGUAAAGCGUGCGUAGGCUGUUUCGUAAGUCGUGUGUGAAAGGCGCGGGCUCAACCCGCGGACGGCACAUGAUACUGCGAGGCUAGAGUAAUGGAGGGGGAACCGGAAUUCUCGGUGUAGCAGUGAAAUGCGUAGAUAUCGAGAGGAACACUCGUGGCGAAGGCGGGUUCCUGGACAUUAACUGACGCUGAGGCACGAAGGCCAGGGGAGCGAAAGGG